GACGAACGCUGGCGGCUUGCUUAACACAUGCAAGUCGAACGGAAAGGCCCUGCUUUUGUGGGUUGCUCGAGUGGCGAACGGUUGAUUAACACGUGAUUACCCUGCCCUUGACUUUGGGUUAACUCCAGGAAACUGGGGCUAUUACCGGUUAGGAUCUCUUGCUGCAUGGUGUGGGUUGGAAAGUUUCGGUGGUUGGGGAUGGACUCGCGGCUUAUCAGCUUGUUGUGGGGGUAGUGGCUUACCAAGGUUUUGACGGGUAGCCGGCCUGAGAGGGUGACCGGCCACAUUGGGACUGAGAUACGGCCCAGACUCCUACGGGAGGCAGCAGUGGGGAAUAUUGCACAAUGGGCGGAAGCCUGAUGCAGAAACGCCGCGUGCGGGAUGACGGCCUUCGGGUUGUAAACCGCUUUCGCCUGUGACGAAGCGUGAGUGACGGUAAUGGGUAAAGAAGCACCGGCUAACUACGUG
RNAcentral lists this ribosomal RNA (468 nucleotides) under uncultured bacterium. RNAcentral describes it as "partial 16S ribosomal RNA". It matches the Rfam family "Bacterial small subunit ribosomal RNA", at positions 28 to 507 of the family's 1533-position model. The record is from RNAcentral.